Molecule: ribosomal RNA, 466 nt
Filed under: uncultured bacterium
Lineage: Bacteria
Description: partial 16S ribosomal RNA
Rfam family: Bacterial small subunit ribosomal RNA
Source: RNAcentral
GACGAACGCUGGCGGCGUGCUUAACACAUGCAAGUCGAACGGAAAGGCCCUGCUUUUGUGGGGUGCUCGAGUGGCGAACGGGUGAGUAACACGUGAGUAACCUGCCCUUGACUUUGGGAUAACUUCAGGAAACUGGGGCUAAUACCGGAUAGGAGCUCCUGCUGCAUGGUGGGGGUUGGAAAGUUUCGGCGGUUGGGGAUGGACUCGCGGCUUAUCAGCUUGUUGGUGGGGUAGUGGCUUACCAAGGCUUUGACGGGUAGCCGGCCUGAGAGGGUGACCGGCCACAUUGGGACUGAGAUACGGCCCAGACUCCUACGGGAGGCAGCAGUGGGGAAUAUUGCACAAUGGGCGGAAGCCUGAUGCAGCAACGCCGCGUGCGGGAUGACGGCCUUCGGGUUGUAAACCGCUUUCGCCUGUGACGAAGUGUGAGUGACGGUAAUGGGUAAAGAAGCACCGGCUAACUACG